AUCUCCUUUAAAACGCCCUGAAAAUCCAAAUUUUGGGUGGGAUCUGGGGUCAAAAAUCUCCUUUAAAACGCCCUGAAAAUCCAAAUUUUGGGUGGGAUCUGGAGCUCAGGGUGGGGAUGAAAAAUCAAUUUCCCACUUUUGUUUAUUUCCCUCAAAAUCCACUCUCAGAUCCCCCUCCCCCAUCCCUCAUUCCAAGCAAAUCCCAUUUUCCCCUUCCCAAAUGGAUUUGUUGGGUUGAGGGUUUGAAAUUGGGAUUUUUAAAGGAAUAAUUUUAAAAAUGUGAUUUUUUUUUGGGGGGGGGAAAUGGAUGUUUUAAUUGGGAGGUGAAACAGGAAUGGGAAAAAUCUGAUCCCGGGGAAAAAGUGGAAUUUUACACCAGGACAGCUCUGAAGAGAACAUCAAAAACCACCAAAACCAGUUCAAACCAGUAAAAACCAGUUCAAAACCAUAAAAAACAGUUCAAAACCAGUUCAAACCAAUAAAAACCCAGUUAAAACCAGUUAAAACCAGUAAAAACCAGUUAAAAACCAGUUAAAAACCAGUUCAAACCAAUAAAAACCCAGUUAAAAACAGUUCAAAACCAGUUAAAACCUGUUAAAAUCCCAGUAAGAACCCAGCUCGAAACCAAGCAAAAACCCAGUUCAAACCAGUUUGGAACCAGUUAAAAACCAGUCAAAAACCAGUUAAAUCCCAGUUAAAAACCAGUUUAAUCCCAUUAAAUCCCAGUUAAAACCCAGUUAAAAACCAGUUAGAAACCAGUUAGAAACCAGUUUAAUCCCAGUUUAAACCCAGUUAAAACCCAGUUAAAUCCCAGUUAAAUCCCAGUUUAAACCCAGUUAAAAACCAGUUAAAAACCAGUUAAAAACCAGUUAAAAGCCACUAAAACCAGUUCAAUCCCAGUUCAAUCCCAGUUUAAACCCAGUUCAAUCCCAGUUCCAUCCCAGUUCCAUCCCAGUUCCAUCCCAGUUCCAUCCCAGUUCCAUCCCAGUUCCAUCCCAGUUCCAUCCCAGUUCAAUCCCAGUGGCCCACUGAGGCCUUGUCCUUAUGGAGUAAAGCCAGGCUUAAACCCUGAACCUGAACUUGGAGCAAACCCCACCAAAACCUCAAAAAACCUCAAAAAACACCAAAAAAAUCCCCCAAAAUUCAACAACCACCAAAAAACACCAAAAACCCUGAAAUAACACCAAAAACCUGACAAAAAACACAACAAAAACACCAAAAACUCCCCAAAAUAAUGAGAGAAACUCCCCCAAAACUCAAGAACAGCAAAAAGCUCCAAAAGAGCAACAAAAAGCUCCUAAAAACCCCAAAAGAACCAAAAUAAUUUAAAAAAACCUGCCAAAAAUCACAAUAAAAACUACAAAAAAAACCCCAAAAUCCCCAUUUUUAUGGAUAGGUUGGGCAAAACAAAA
Long non-coding RNA from Serinus canaria (Common canary), 1412 nucleotides. RefSeq lists it as uncharacterized. The record is from RefSeq and is a predicted model, not a curated record. The transcript is spliced from 3 exons. NCBI's taxonomy places the organism in Eukaryota, Metazoa, Chordata, Aves, Passeriformes, Fringillidae.